AACGUAGGAGACGAUCGUUAUCCGGAGCUACUGGGCGUAAAGGGCGUGCAGGCGGUCUGAUAAGUUCGGCGUGAAAUAUUCCGGCUUAACCGGGAUAGGUCGUCGGAGACUGUCGGACUAGAGGGUGAUAGAGGCGUGUGGAAUUCCGGGUGUAGUGGUGAAAUGCGUAGAGAUCCGGAGGAACACCAGUGGCGAAGGCGACACGCUGGGUCACACCUGACGCUAAAGCGCGACAGCAUGGGGAGCGAACGGG
Molecule: ribosomal RNA, 253 nt
Filed under: uncultured bacterium
Lineage: Bacteria
Description: partial 16S ribosomal RNA
Rfam family: Bacterial small subunit ribosomal RNA
Source: RNAcentral